GAGGAAUAUUGGUCAAUGGGCGAGAGCCUGAACCAGCCAAGUAGCGUGCAGGAUGACGGCCCUAUGGGUUGUAAACUGCUUUUAUGUGGGGAUAAAGUGAGCUACGUGUAGUUUAUUGCAGGUACCACAUGAAUAAGGACCGGCUAAUUCCGUGCCAGCAGCCGCGGUAAUACGGAAGGUCCAGGCGUUAUCCGGAUUUAUUGGGUUUAAAGGGAGCGUAGGCCGUGGAUUAAGCGUGUUGUGAAAUGUAGACGCUCAACGUCUGAAUUGCAGCGCGAACUGGUUCACUUGAGUAUGCACAACGUAGGCGGAAUUCGUCGUGUAGCGGUGAAAUGCUUAGAUAUGACGAAGAACUCCGAUUGCGAAGGCAGCUUACAGGAGCACAACUGACGCUGAAGCUCGAAGGUGCGGGUAUCAAACAGGAUUAGAUACCCUGGUAGUCCGCACAGUAAACGAUGGAUGCCCGUUGUUAGUUCACUUUAGAAUUAGCGACCAAGCGAAAGCAUUAAGCAUCCCACCUGGGGAGUACGCCGGCAACGGUG
RNAcentral lists this ribosomal RNA (542 nucleotides) under uncultured bacterium. RNAcentral describes it as "bacterial SSU rRNA". It matches the Rfam family "Bacterial small subunit ribosomal RNA", at positions 356 to 896 of the family's 1533-position model. The record is from RNAcentral.